AUGUAGCGCAAUGGAUAGCGCGUUGGAGUUUUAAUACAAAGGUUGUGGGUUCAAAUCCCACCUGGGAUG
Trichonephila clavata is the source of this 69-nucleotide non-coding RNA. The record is from the annotation of a GenBank genome assembly. Lineage: Eukaryota; Metazoa; Arthropoda; Arachnida; Araneae; Nephilidae.